Molecule: ribosomal RNA, 294 nt
Filed under: uncultured bacterium
Lineage: Bacteria
Description: partial 16S ribosomal RNA
Rfam family: Bacterial small subunit ribosomal RNA
Source: RNAcentral
GAUGAACGCUGGCGGCGUGCCUAACACAUGCAAGUCGAGCGAACCCUUCGGGGUGAGCGGCGGACGGGUGAGUAACGCGUGGGUAACCUGCCCUGUACACACGGAUAACAUACCGAAAGGUAUGCUAAUACGAGAUAACAUAUUUAAUCGCAUGGUUAAGAUAUCAAAGCUCCGGCGGUACAGGAUGGACCCGCGUCUGAUUAGCUAGUUGGUGAGGUAAUGGCUCACCAAGGCGACGAUCAGUAGCCGACCUGAGAGGGUGAUCGGCCACACUGGAACUGAGACACGGUCCAG